RNAcentral lists this ribosomal RNA (495 nucleotides) under uncultured bacterium. RNAcentral describes it as "partial 16S ribosomal RNA". It matches the Rfam family "Bacterial small subunit ribosomal RNA", at positions 28 to 507 of the family's 1533-position model. The record is from RNAcentral.
GACGAACGCUGGCGGCGUGCCUAAUACAUGCAAGUAGAACGCUGAAGGAGGAGCUUGCUUCUCUGGAUGAGUUGCGAACGGGUGAGUAACGCGUAGGUAACCUGCCUGGUAGCGGGGGAUAACUAUUGGAAACGAUAGCUAAUACCGCAUAAUAGUAGAUGUCGCAUGACAUUUGCUUAAAAGGUGCAAUUGCAUCACUACCAGAUGGACCUGCGUUGUAUUAGCUAGUUGGUGGGGUAACGGCUCACCAAGGCGACGAUACAUAGCCGACCUGAGAGGGUGAUCGGCCACACUGGGACUGAGACACGGCCCAGACUCCUACGGGAGGCAGCAGUAGGGAAUCUUCGGCAAUGGACGGAAGUCUGACCGAGCAACGCCGCGUGAGUGAAGAAGGUUUUCGGAUCGUAAAGCUCUGUUGUAAGAGAAGAACGAGUGUGAGAGUGGAAAGUUCACACUGUGACGGUAUCUUACCAGAAAGGGACGGCUAACUACGUG